RNAcentral lists this non-coding RNA (26 nucleotides) under Rattus norvegicus (Norway rat). The record is from RNAcentral. Lineage: Eukaryota; Metazoa; Chordata; Mammalia; Rodentia; Muridae.
AACAAAGCACAAUUGGAGAGCCGGUC